Molecule: long non-coding RNA, 1148 nt
Filed under: Apteryx owenii (little spotted kiwi)
Lineage: Eukaryota; Metazoa; Chordata; Aves; Apterygiformes; Apterygidae
Description: lncRNA (ENSAOWG00000001261.1)
Source: RNAcentral
CUUUGUGUCAUAACAGUGAUUCUGUGAUAUAUAACAAAAUUUAAGCAGGUUCCCUUCUGGUCUGUUGUUAAAGCUUCCCAAAUAUGCUUUUCAAACCUCAUCUGAAGUUUAACCUGGUGCAUAUCUAUCAGUGAUAGAAAACAGAACUUUCACUUCUUAAAAACAGAACAAAAACCUCUUGGGGUCUACAGCAUAAAUGAAACCUAACUGUCUCAGCAGAGAUGAGGCCUGUGUUGUUAAUGAUUGUGCAAAUACCUAAUGAGAAAUCUUCCCAGACAUGGAGAGUUUGCAACUGAAACAAACCCCAAAUGUUUGGAGACUUACGCACAGAGGUGCAAUGUGUUUCCCUUCUAUGUGGUAACGGUCAAUGGAAGGUCUGGAUUUGCAAAUAUCUUAUUUUUUUUCAGUUGGGACUGUCUGCAAGCAAAGCUUCUCGAAUCAGAUAAUGUCUCAAACAUUGAUGUGAAAUACUGCACACUGCUUUAAGUCCCUGCUACCACAGAGUCUGCUUGGCCCCCCUGUAAGCUUCCAUUUUUCUGCACAAAUAGGCCCCAGUUGCUGCUCAGAGGAGGAAGAACCACUAACAAGGACAGAUGGCUCUUUUCACCUCAACUGCUGUCUUGAUAAUGUCUUUCUCUAAAAAUACUCUAAAAUUCAGAUUGCGUUUUAAGGGGGCCUAAUACAAGGAAGAGCAUCUUCUGUAGUGGAGAAGCAGCCAGAAGGCCUAAGAAGAUCCCUAGCGAACUGCAGCCUGCUGGAAAGCUUCUUGCAGCUCCAUCCUCGGGGGGGGGGGGGGGGGAAGGAUGUUUUGUGGCUAAAAAUGGGCAGGAGAUCAGAAGAUCUGCGUAUACUCUGCCUAACGCAAACUGAGCAGCUCUGUAACUUUGGUAGCAGUGCAGGCUUAUUAAAACCAAGCCCUUCAGUAACGCUUCCCUCAGCAGUGGCGCAUGAAGCCGGCGGCAGAAGGAGGCCGCUACGUGACGCCACCGCAGCGCGGGUGGUGAAGGCGGGGGAGCCGCUGCCGCGGCGCGACCUCCGUGAGCCCCCUCUUCGCGGCCGAAGCGCCGCCGUUUCCACCGCAGCUCUCGCAUGACGCCGGGCCCCCUCUCCAGGGCAGCGUUAGGGCCGCCCGGGGCCGGCGCCGCCUG